This 253-nucleotide unclassified non-coding RNA is filed under the name uncultured Dehalococcoidia bacterium. RNAcentral's name for it is "contains 16S-23S intergenic spacer region". It matches the Rfam family "Bacterial small subunit ribosomal RNA", at positions 524 to 776 of the family's 1533-position model. The record is from RNAcentral. Lineage: Bacteria; Bacillati; Chloroflexota; Dehalococcoidia.
UACGUAGGAUCCGAGCGUUGUCCGGAUUUACUGGGCGUAAAGGGUGCGUAGGCGGCCUGUUAAGUCUUAUGUGAAAUCUCCCGGCUCAACCGGGAGGGGUCAUGGGAUACUGGCAGGCUUGAGGGCAGUAGAGGAGAGCGGAAUUCCCGGAGUAGUGGUGAAAUGCGUAGAUACCGGGAGGAACACCAGUGGCGAAAGCGGCUCUCUGGGCUGUCCCUGACGCUGAGGCACGAAAGCGUGGGGAGCAAACCGG